GAAGCAAGUUGACUGGAGACUGUGUCUACUAGAGACGCUCAACAGACUGGAUGGAGAGAGGAGCUGUUUGAAGCUGGCGGAAGAAGUGUGCUUAGCCUCUGGGAUUAGAGCUGAGAAAGCAAGAACUUGGCUGAGAAGAGUCGUAAGAAUCAGUAUAUGGCUUGGUGUGUGUGUUUAUGUGUGCAUGCAUGCCUGUGUGUGCACAUAUAAUAAGGGCUAGAGAAUGACUGUCACCACCCCGGACAAACUGCUGAGCUACUGAAUUUUAUCCGCCUUCUGGCCAUGCUACAAAGUUGUCUGUGGAGUUGAAAUGUUUAUUGCAAUAACCUCUGACCUUACAUGAUUUAAGGUCUCUCUUAAUCUGGAAAUGUAUAAGAGUGCAGAAAAUAUUUUUAUAGGAUGAAAUACGAGCUCUCUACUUGACGCUGAAGAAUGGAGGGGAAAUGUACUAUUCCUCAGAUUCAAUCAAUAAAAUACUCCAUUUCCAUAAACACAGUAUGCAUAGACUGGCUUAUACUGGAAAGAAUUUAUUAGGUCAAGAGGAGUAUUAUUAAGAAAUAAAUGGAAAUGUUUAAAUAUU
Molecule: long non-coding RNA, 580 nt
Filed under: Rattus norvegicus (Norway rat)
Lineage: Eukaryota; Metazoa; Chordata; Mammalia; Rodentia; Muridae
Description: long non-coding RNA NONRATT001630
Source: RNAcentral